RNAcentral lists this long non-coding RNA (408 nucleotides) under Brassica napus (rape). RNAcentral describes it as "long non-coding RNA (BNAP_LNC025905)". Lineage: Eukaryota; Viridiplantae; Streptophyta; Magnoliopsida; Brassicales; Brassicaceae. The record is from RNAcentral.
AUUCAUGGAAGCCUGUCCAAUUUUGGUUAAUGAUUUUGAAAAUAUAAGCAGACUUUGACUAAGAGAGAAAAUUAGUAGAGAGAGAGGAUACAAACUAAUGUUUACCUGCAGGUCUAGAUACUUUUUUGAAAGUCCUUGCAUCCUGUGAUUGAUACCACCAAGGUAAAGCUUACACUUUUAUUUAUGCUAAGAGAUGAGGUUGGUAGAGGGGAAUGUCAUACAAGAUUUGCUAAAUUGUUGACUAGAUGAAUAUGGUUGCGAAGAUAGGAUAUGGUAUAAUGCUCUUUUGUGAUUAGGACUUUUUAGAUGUGGAUUGCAAUAUUGUAGAAGUGAUGAUUCUAAGUUUUAAAUCAUGUGAAUCCCUGCUAUUUUCAAACCUCUUUCAGAGAGACUGCAUGUUUGUUUUGC